Molecule: ribosomal RNA, 409 nt
Filed under: uncultured bacterium
Lineage: Bacteria
Description: bacterial SSU rRNA
Rfam family: Bacterial small subunit ribosomal RNA
Source: RNAcentral
AUUGAACGCUGGCGGCAUGCCUUACACAUGCAAGUCGAACGGCAGCACGGGAGCAAUCCUGGUGGCGAGUGGCGAACGGGUGAGUAAUAUAUCGGAACGUGCCCAGUCGUGGGGAUAACGUAGCGAAAGCUACGCUAAUACCGCAUACGAUCUAUGGAUGAAAGCGGGGGAUCGCAAGACCUCGCGCGAUUGGAGCGGCCGAUAUCAGAUUAGGUAGUUGGUGGGGUAAAGGCUCACCAAGCCAACGAUCUGUAGCUGGUCUGAGAGGACGACCAGCCACACUGGAACUGAGACACGGUCCAGACUCCUACGGGAGGCAGCAGUGGGGAAUUUUGGACAAUGGACGCAAGUCUGAUCCAGCCAUUCCGCGUGCAGGAUGAAGGCCCUCGGGUUGUAAACUGCUUUGUAC